This 431-nucleotide ribosomal RNA is filed under the name uncultured bacterium. Its description in RNAcentral is "bacterial SSU rRNA". It matches the Rfam family "Bacterial small subunit ribosomal RNA", at positions 338 to 786 of the family's 1533-position model. The record is from RNAcentral.
CCUACGGGGGGCAGCAGUGGGGAAUCUUAGACAAUGGGGGCAACCCUGAUCUAGCCAUGCCGCGUGAGUGAUGAAGGCCUUAGGGUCGUAAAGCUCUUUCGCCUGUGAUGAUAAUGACAGUAGCAGGUAAAGAAACCCCGGCUAACUCCGUGCCAGCAGCCGCGGUAAUACGGAGGGGGUUAGCGUUGUUCGGAAUUACUGGGCGUAAAGCGCGCGUAGGCGGAUUAGAAAGUUGGGGGUGAAAUCCCGGGGCUCAACCCCGGAACUGCCUCCAAAACUGCUAGUCUAGAGUUCGAGAGAGGUGAGUGGAAUUCCGAGUGUAGAGGUGAAAUUCGUAGAUAUUCGGAGGAACACCAGUGGCGAAGGCGGCUCACUGGCUCGAUACUGACGCUGAGGUGCGAAAGUGUGGGGAGCAAACAGGAUUAGAUACC